CACACAGUUCAUAGUCCAUCCUUAUGGGGCCCGCCCUGGAUUUCUAUCUCACUUUAAAGGAUUUCAUAUUUAACCUCACACACACACACUUUUCUAGUGUAUCCUUAUGGGGCCCUGUCAUCUCAUUCUCGCUUUAAGUGACUUCACAUCAUUUGUACAACACAUUUUAGCAUUAAACCUCCGGUUAUUAUAUAUAUAUAUAGUUCUACUUUGUGAGCUGUUUUAGGUUUUAAAGUGUAUUUUGAAUAUGAAUCAGUGUAGCCCCCUAUAUGUUAUUGUUAGACUUUAGAAUAGGCCAUGCACACUGCUUUAAGUUAUUUGCCAUUGAAUAGACUUUUCAAAUAAAGUCAAUUCGGUAACUUGUGAGUAUCUCAACAAACAUCAUAACUAUAAUUUCUAAAUGCAGUCUUUUUUUCAAUCUGAAUUCCAGGUGACACACAAUCAGGCUCCUGCUGUGGCAGUGGACACGGAGACGCCUUUAGACUGGACUACCUCUGAUGGAUGUGACCCAAAUAGAGCUACAGUCAGGUGACACACAAUCAGGCUCCUGCUGUGGCAGUGGACACGGAGACGCCUUUAGACUGGACUAGCUCUGAUGGAUGUGACCCAAAUAGAGCUACAGUCAGGUGACCAACAAUCAGGCUGCUGCUGUCGCAGUGGACAACUCUUCAGAUAUGACUUCCCUUGGUGAAUGUCUCUCAAAUGCAGCUACAGACCAGGUGGUCAACAAUCAGGCUCCUGCUGUCGCAGUGGACAACUCUUCAGAUAUGACUUCCCUUGGCGAAUGUCUCUCAAAUGCAGCUACAGACCAGAGAAACCCACUGCUGUAAAAAGAAACUGGAGACCACAGGAGUGUGCAGCUGUUGAACGACAUUCAAGGAGAUUUAUUGUACUUAACAAAGUUCCUGGGAAAAUGGACUGUCAGCGCUGCAUUUCAGCCGAGCCUCAAGCCCUGAGUGACAGAGACUGGAGAGCAGUCAAGUAUUUCAUUAAAAAUAGAAUAACAUCUCUGAAAAACAAAAUGUUGUAAAAAGUGAAAAGUAGACUAAUGUUGAUAUUUUCUUUGAGGAAAUCCUAUUAAAGUUGUGGGUGGCACUUUAUAAUAAGUACACACUAUUUAACAUUAUUAAAGCAUGAAUACACA
Pseudoliparis swirei is the source of this 1144-nucleotide long non-coding RNA. RefSeq lists it as uncharacterized. NCBI's taxonomy places the organism in Eukaryota, Metazoa, Chordata, Actinopteri, Perciformes, Liparidae. The record is from RefSeq and is a predicted model, not a curated record. The transcript has 5 exons.